AUAUCAAUAAGCGGAGGAAAAGAAACCAACAGGGAUUGCCUCAGUAACGGCGAGCGAAGCGGCAAAAGCUCAAAUUUGAAAUCUGGCGUCUUUGGCGUCCGAGUUGUAAUUUGAAGAAAGUAACUUUGGAGUUGGCCUUUGCACAUGUUCCUUGGAAUAGGACAUCAUAGAGGGUGAGAAUCCCGUACAUGGUGAGGUGCCCAACUCUUUGUAAAGUGCUUUCCAAGAGUCGAGUUGUUUGGGAAUGCAGCUCUAAGUGGGUGGUAAAUUCCAUCUAAGGCUAAAUAUUGGCGAGAGACCGAUAGCGAACAAGUACAGUGAUGGAAAGAUGAAAAGAACUUUGAAAAGAGAGUGAAAAAGUACGUGAAAUUGUUGAAAGGGAAGGGCUUGAGAUCAGACUUGGCUUGUAGUGAUCAACUGUCUUUCGGGACUGUGCACUCGCUGCUUGCUAGGCCAACAUCGGUUUUGGCGGUAAGAUAAUAGCAAUUGAACGUGGCUCUUCGGAGUGUUAUAGCUUUUGUUGAUAUUACCAGCUGGGACCGAGGACCGCGCUUCGGCUAGGAUGUUGGCGUAAUGAUCUUAAGCCAC
Molecule: ribosomal RNA, 588 nt
Filed under: [Candida] sp. BG02-7-13-007D-1-1
Lineage: Eukaryota; Fungi; Ascomycota; Saccharomycetes; Saccharomycetales
Description: eukaryotic LSU rRNA
Rfam family: Eukaryotic large subunit ribosomal RNA
Source: RNAcentral